AUAAUCUCGCCACGUUUUGGUGCUCGCGCCUCUGUCCAGAGGUGCAGUUAAACGGGAAACAGGGAGCCCUCCAGGGCCAACCUGUGCUGCCCCCGCAACGGUAAACAAGCGUCGUCCCCGCGUCGACUAUCCGCCUCGUAUAUGCCACUGUGCCUCGUGCAUGGGAAGGCCGGGCGGAUUCGCUUGCCAGCCCGGAUACCGGCCAAACAGGGGGAUGCGCC
RNAcentral lists this non-coding RNA (221 nucleotides) under Duganella sacchari. The record is from RNAcentral. Lineage: Bacteria; Pseudomonadati; Pseudomonadota; Betaproteobacteria; Burkholderiales; Oxalobacteraceae.